RNAcentral lists this ribosomal RNA (1372 nucleotides) under uncultured bacterium. Its description in RNAcentral is "bacterial SSU rRNA". It matches the Rfam family "Bacterial small subunit ribosomal RNA", at positions 28 to 1381 of the family's 1533-position model. The record is from RNAcentral.
GAUGAACGCUGGCGGCGUGCCUAAUACAUGCAAGUCGAGCGAACGGACGAGAAGCUUGCUUCUCUGAUGUUAGCGGCGGACGGGUGAGUAACACGUGGAUAACCUACCUAUAAGACUGGGAUAACUUCGGGAAACCGUAGCUAAUACCGGAUAAUAUUUUGAACCGCAUGGUUCAAAAGUGAAAGACGGUCUUGCUGUCACUUAUAGAUGGAUCCGCGCUGCAUUAGCUAGUUGGUAAGGUAACGGCUUACCAAGGCAACGAUGCAUAGCCGACCUGAGAGGGUGAUCGGCCACACUGGAACUGAGACACGGUCCAGACUCCUACGGGAGGCAGCAGUAGGGAAUCUUCCGCAAUGGGCGAAAGCCUGACGGAGCAACGCCGCGUGAGUGAUGAAGGUCUUCGGAUCGUAAAACUCUGUUAUUAGGGAAGAACAUAUGUGUAAGUAACUGUGCACAUCUUGACGGUACCUAAUCAGAAAGCCACGGCUAACUACGUGCCAGCAGCCGCGGUAAUACGUAGGUGGCAAGCGUUAUCCGGAAUUAUUGGGCGUAAAGCGCGCGUAGGCGGUUUUUUAAGUCUGAUGUGAAAGCCCACGGCUCAACCGUGGAGGGUCAUUGGAAACUGGAAAACUUGAGUGCAGAAGAGGAAAGUGGAAUUCCAUGUGUAGCGGUGAAAUGCGCAGAGAUAUGGAGGAACACCAGUGGCGAAGGCGACUUUCUGGUCUGUAACUGACGCUGAUGUGCGAAAGCGUGGGGAUCAAACAGGAUUAGAUACCCUGGUAGUCCACGCCGUAAACGAUGAGUGCUAAGUGUUAGGGGGUUUCCGCCCCUUAGUGCUGCAGCUAACGCAUUAAGCACUCCGCCUGGGGAGUACGACCGCAAGGUUGAAACUCAAAGGAAUUGACGGGGACCCGCACAAGCGGUGGAGCAUGUGGUUUAAUUCGAAGCAACGCGAAGAACCUUACCAAAUCUUGACAUCCUUUGACAACUCUAGAGAUAGAGCCUUCCCCUUCGGGGGACAAAGUGACAGGUGGUGCAUGGUUGUCGUCAGCUCGUGUCGUGAGAUGUUGGGUUAAGUCCCGCAACGAGCGCAACCCUUAAGCUUAGUUGCCAUCAUUAAGUUGGGCACUCUAAGUUGACUGCCGGUGACAAACCGGAGGAAGGUGGGGAUGACGUCAAAUCAUCAUGCCCCUUAUGAUUUGGGCUACACACGUGCUACAAUGGACAAUACAAAGGGCAGCGAAACCGCGAGGUCAAGCAAAUCCCAUAAAGUUGUUCUCAGUUCGGAUUGUAGUCUGCAACUCGACUACAUGAAGCUGGAAUCGCUAGUAAUCGUAGAUCAGCAUGCUACGGUGAAUACGUUCCCGGGUCU